UUACGGCCGCAUCAUGUUGAAACACCGGUUCCCGUACGAUCACAGAAGUUAAGCAACGUCGGAAACGGUCAGUACUUAGAUGGGUGAACAACUAGGC
Non-coding RNA from Acanthosepion pharaonis, 97 nucleotides. Lineage: Eukaryota; Metazoa; Mollusca; Cephalopoda; Sepiida; Sepiidae. The record is from the annotation of a GenBank genome assembly.